UUUUUCAUUUCUCAACUUUCUUUCUCUCUCUUCUAUCUUUUCUCUCUCUGCUACGCACUCUUUCUCUCUCUGUCGCCUAUUCAUGAAGAACAACAAGAACACCUCCGUCUCGUCCCCGGAUUCCGGCGGCUGGCCAUCACGAAUCUCAUACUCCGGCGAGCCACCACACUAGCUCGUCCUUCACCACCACAUCCACCACCAUCACACCUACAAAUCACUAGAAAUUGUUCGCCGCCUUUAUUCCUCCGCGCUGUGAAGCAUACUCGCCGAUUUCAUUCUUUCGUUUUCAAAAGCCUCUCUGGUAAUCUUUCGAUUUCAUUCUUUUUUCUUCUCACCGAUUUCAUAAGCUACUUGCAUUACUUCUCACUGAUUUUGAUUUCUUCAUUUCUUCUUCUCUUAGGUGGGUUCAAUUCCUCAAAUUUUGAUCUUGCAUGUUUGAAAUCUUCCCUGAAAUUGGAUCUUUGGAUGUCAAUCAGGUACCUAGAAUAAUAUCAUCUCUCUUUCAUACUAUUUUUCGUUAUUUAUUUUAAUUUUUGCAGAAUGCAUUCCAGUGAUAAAAUUGAAUUUUUAUCAAUUGGUUCAGAUUAAUCAAACCCCAUAUGAAUUUUGUGUAUUUUGUGCAAAACAAAGUUAAAGCUUUGAUUUUUAAUGAUUUAUGUUUUGUGGGGUUUGUUUGUUUGUGUUGGACAGGUAGUUGAAGUUUCAACUUCAAAUCUGGAAAACAUGGACAUGUUAAGUGUUGCUUUGUUGGUUUUCACAUCUUCACUGGCCAAAAACAUGAAGAUAUUGUUCCUUCUUCUCAUAACUGUCAUGCAUGGUUUUCAUUUUAAUAUGAGGUUAUUUUUUGGGUUUGGAAUAUAUUUUUAAUUAGUGAUUAACUAAGAUGUGUUUGUUUGUUAUUACAACAGGUUCCUCAUAUCAAUUGUACUCAUAAACUUGCUAAAUAUGAGGUAGUUCGGCGGCAGCUUCCGACACAGAGGUAAGGAUUUGUUUCUAUGUAAUUAAAACCAUGGCUAUCACUAAUUAGCUGCAUACUAUUCUUACCAAAUAAUUAUUGAUUUGUUUCUAUGUAUAUGCAGGGAACAAUCUUUGUUAAAUUUUGUAGCUUUACUGUGCUGUUUCGAUUUUUUUUUAUUAAAGAUUACAUUUUUACUUUGUUUUGUUUGAAUUCUUUUUCUACUCUUUUUAUCGAUUUUGAUUCAUGGGUUUGGAAAUUACAACUAUGCAAUAGAGUUUAAACUUGAAUUAGGUGUCACUGUUAACAAUAUUAUUUAAAUGCACUCCUGUCUUUGAGUAGAGAAAAGUCUAGAUAUGGCCGCAAGAAGAAAAUGCUUUUGAUUGAUCUCUUUGAGAAUUGUAAUAAUUUUCAGCAUUGUCCUUGUGAUCAGAAGUUGUUGGAACACCAAAAUAUAACAAUUUUACAUAUGCUGAUGUACAUAUCCAUAAGUUCACUUGCCAACUGAACUAUGAAGCUGAAUUUUAAUUGUUGUACUCAUGCUGGCUAGAUAUUGUGGUAGUUUUUCUCUUAAGUGACAGGGGAGACAUGAUGGGUUGGCUUUUUUGAGUUAAAUUGUGUUCUGGGUCAAUUUAAAGUUUAUAGCAUAUAGGUUUGCUUACAGCAUAGGGUAUAGUGCUUUACUGAAUUGCUUAUUCAUUAUUUUUUUAAUGUUAUGUAUUAUAGAGGUUUAUUUAAGGUGGUAACGGAAGGAGGAUUUGAUGCCAUUAUUUCAGUGAACUCUUGUGACCAUGUUGAUGAAUUCCUUGAUUUUAUGUAUUGCCAUGGUUAAUAAUACGUAGCUUGGUGUUGCAAUAGAAGUUGUGUUACCUUCUUAUUUCNNNNNNNNNNNNNNNNNNNNNNNNNNNNNNNNNNNNNNNNNNNNNNNNNNNNNNNNNNNNNNNNNNNNNNNNNNNNNNNNNNNNNNNNUUUGGUUUUGUUUAUACAACACUAAAAGGGGAACCAGGUUGGUCUUAAUUCUUGAAUUUGUUUGGCAAUAAGGGAAACAUUGAGACACUUGUGAAAUUCCAUGAGUUUCCUUUUUGAUCAGAUCUUGCAUUCAGAAAGAUGAGGAUUGUGGAAGCUAUUGAAAAAGAAUUGGGUAGUGAAAGGUAUUUUGCUCUCUUAGUUGUUCGAUUCAAGUCUUUACAUCAGAGUUCAAACUAUCCUCCACUAGGUUAGGCUUAGUGUGUUUAUACAGUAUUAGUUACAAUGAUGAUUCUAGAGCCUUUGUAUGUUUGUGUAACUGAUUCCUAAUUCUAAUCAUGGAUGGAGGUCUCACAAUUUGAUGUCUUACUUUAUUGCACUAUUUAUGCAGCCCAGACAGGCAAGAAUAGAAUAACCAGAAACAUCUUACUAAGACCAGAAAAAAUAGCACUAACUGCAGAAAAUUAAAAACCAGAAGACCAUAAAGUAGCACAACUGAUGCAGGAAAAACACGCAGAGCAGCAUACAACCCCAGGUCUUCGAUCACCGCCACAUACAAAUCACCGGUUCGUUCAACCACUCAUAUAAAAGACAAUGAUGCACUUUCUCAUUAGAUAGUUUCUUAGUCUCUACAUGAUAUACAUUAACCUCUAUAUAUCACUUAACAUGUUUAUAAUUUUAUCUGAUAUUUAUACAAUGUAAUCAUAUUCCAUCUCCGAGUAUACACAGAGGUUUCUAAUUCUGAUCAUGGAUAGAGGUCUCAUAAUUCGAUGUCUUACUUUAUUGCACGAUUUAUAAACAUCCGGAUGUCGAUAUAGAUUCACAAUUUUUUGUACUCACAUUGUUUUAUUUCGUGAGUUUUGAUCAUUUUUUUUUUUGGCUUUGGUUUUCAUGAUUAAUUAAAUGCAGGUUCAAUUUGGGUUUUCUUCCUUUCAUUAAGGUAUGUAUUCCAUACAAAAUUUGCAUUGUUUAGUGU
Molecule: long non-coding RNA, 2897 nt
Filed under: Trifolium pratense (red clover)
Lineage: Eukaryota; Viridiplantae; Streptophyta; Magnoliopsida; Fabales; Fabaceae
Description: long non-coding RNA (TPRA_LNC002147)
Source: RNAcentral